AUAAUAUAUGUUUUCCUCGUCAAUUUUAUCGUUGUUAUUAUUGUAUUAAAUAUUUCUUUCGCCGGUACGUACAUCGUCGUUGUUUUUGUUAUCGAAUUUACCGUCCACAGGAAUUAACAAUAACGACGGAAGUAAUAAAUUGAUACGUUGUAGGUGGUGUACGAAGUUACGCACACAUUUGUUUCGCGUUCGUUUGUACGGGUCGUCGCAAACUCGUUGAACAAAUUGAAAAUUCAAUUACACCGAAAUGGUAUAAUAUUUUAAAGAGAAUUGAUAGAUUAUUCCGAAUAUGUAUGUACCCACUCCGAGCUCGAUUAUGAAACGAAUGAAUGUGCGGUUACACAAAGCUCAGAUAUUUUCGAAUAAUGCGUAUCCGUGUACGAGAUCGUUUCGUUCUCGCGGACGACACGUAGCUAAGCAAAAGUUCGAUGGAGUUGCCGUUGGAGUUCCUGAAUAAUGUGGGGAUUCGGGGAUGGUACCAAACACUCGACUUCGGAGCAGGAAACUGGGGAGGUUUAUCUCUCUCUUGUCAAUGACACCGGCUCAAUGGCUUCGUAGAAAAAUCUGCAAUUAACCAGGCGUCAUUAUGCGACAGAGCAUGCUGCGUAUUACUCUCCUCUGAGGAAGCGGCAGUACAAACGCAGCAAUAGAAGGGCAAAGACGUCGAUGGGUACGACGCCGAACGACAACAACACGAGAAAGAGAUCAAGAUAUCCUUGGCAUGAAGGAUGGAACCAAUCAUCUGUCUUUUGGUGGAGUCGUCGCAUGAACUCGGACAUGGCGUUCUCCAAUACUUUGCAGGUAUGUAGGCGUGAUUAAACAAUUGUCAGUUAUUCAUAGACUUCAUACAUGUAUAUUUAUUGGAUGUGACAUGCAUGACAUAGAAUAUAAUAUUGGUAAUAAUUUAUUCUUAUAUAUUAAUUAAUGUACUUUCCUUAUGUUUUAGGUAUUCGGAGAUGCUGCCGCCGUAGCUGCUGUUUGACCGGACUCCCCCUGUUCAUCAGGGGGAGUCCACCGUCCCCUGGGACUUGCGCGGCCUCCCACCGCCCCCGGGGUCCCAGGGGACCCAGUCCCCGAGGACAUGUCUUCGGGGAU
Athalia rosae (coleseed sawfly) is the source of this 1095-nucleotide long non-coding RNA. RefSeq lists it as uncharacterized. The transcript is spliced from 4 exons. The record is from RefSeq and is a predicted model, not a curated record. NCBI's taxonomy places the organism in Eukaryota, Metazoa, Arthropoda, Insecta, Hymenoptera, Athaliidae.